GACGAACGCUGGCGGCGUGCUUAACACAUGCAAGUCGAGCGGUAAGGCCCUUUCGGGGGUACACGAGCGGCGAACGGGUGAGUAACACGUGGGUGACCUGCCCUCAGCUCUGGGAUAAGCCUGGGAAACUGGGUCUAAUACCGGAUAUGACCUCCUAUCGCAUGGUGGGUGGUGGAAAGUUUUUUCGGCUGGGGAUGGGCCCGCGGCCUAUCAGCUUGUUGGUGGGGUGAUGGCCUACCAAGGCGACGACGGGUAGCCGGCCUGAGAGGGCGACCGGCCACACUGGGACUGAGACACGGCCCAGACUCCUACGGGAGGCAGCAGUGGGGAAUAUUGCGCAAGGGGCGAAAGCCUGACGCAGCGACGCCGCGUGGGGGAUGACGGCCUUCGGGUUGUAAACCUCUUUCGACCUUGACGAAGGCCUUCGGGUUGACGGUAGGGGUAGAAGAAGCACCGGCCAACUACGUGCCAGCCGCCGCGGUAA
This 484-nucleotide ribosomal RNA is filed under the name uncultured bacterium. Its description in RNAcentral is "partial 16S ribosomal RNA". It matches the Rfam family "Bacterial small subunit ribosomal RNA", at positions 28 to 523 of the family's 1533-position model. The record is from RNAcentral.